GGAGUAUCUCUCUAUCUAAUAGAGGUUUGGUUGCCCGGGGAGUGCCCCGGCGACUGUGAUUCUUCCGUGGUAGCACUUAUAGAAGCCUUUGCGGCCCCGCCAGGGGUUCCUGCCGCGACUCAAAAAAAUGGUAGCCCACGCAAGUCAGCAAUGGCAACAUGAUCGAAUUGCGGGAAGCCCUAAAGCCUUCGAGUACCAACUACCGGUAGAAAUGCCGAUAGGGCCCAUGUUAACCCCAUGGGAGGUAAAAAUCUUGAAAGGAUAACGCAAUGGGUAAUCCGCAGCGAAGCCCCUAAGGCCCCCGCGGCUAUGGGGAACGUUCACAGACUAAGUGGUUAUGGGCUAUGCUACAUAGCUUAAGAUAUAGUCGGGUCCCCAAGGAGACUUGGGGGAUAGUUAUAACAAACCGUUCCGUAGGUGAACCUGCGGAAGGAUCAUUACAGAGUUCAUGCCCUCACGGGUAGAUCUCCCACCCUUGUGUAUUCUAUAACAGUUGCUUUAGCGGGCCACGGGCCUGCCCGUGACCCGCUAGAGGACCCCAAACUCUGAACUUUAGUGUCGUCUGAGUACUAUAUAAUAGUUAAAACUUUCAACAACGGAUCUCUUGGUUCUGGCAUCGAUGAAGAACGCAGCGAAAUGCGAUAAGUAAUGUGAAUUGCAGAAUUCAGUGAAUCAUCGAAUCUUUGAACGCACAUUGCGCCCCCUGGUAUUCCGGGGGGCAUGCCUGUUCGAGCGUCAUUUAAACCACAUCUAGCUCUGCUAGGUCUUGGGCCACGCUACCCGGCGGGCCUUAAAACCAGUGGCGGUGCCGCCAGGCUCUAAGCGUAGUAAUUCUCUCGCUAUAGGCCCUGGCGGAUGCUUGCCAGCAACCCCAAAUUUUUCAGGUGACCUCGGAUCAGG
RNAcentral lists this small RNA (900 nucleotides) under Trichopezizella sp. FC-2274. RNAcentral's name for it is "eukaryotic LSU rRNA". The stretch from base 585 to 738 matches the Rfam family "5.8S ribosomal RNA". Lineage: Eukaryota; Fungi; Ascomycota; Leotiomycetes; Helotiales; Tricladiaceae. The record is from RNAcentral.